UACAGAGGGUGCGAGCGUUAAUCGGAUUUACUGGGCGUAAAGCGUACGUAGGCGGCUAAUUAAGUCGGAUGUGAAAUCCCUGAGCUUAACUUAGGAAUUGCAUUCGAUACUGGUUAGCUAGAGUAUUGGAGAGGAUGGUAGAAUUCCAGGUGUAGCGGUGAAAUGCGUAGAGAUCUGGAGGAAUACCGAUGGCGAAGGCAGCCAUCUGGCCAAAUACUGACGCUGAGGUACGAAAGCGUGGGGAGCAAACAGG
RNAcentral lists this ribosomal RNA (253 nucleotides) under uncultured bacterium. Its description in RNAcentral is "partial 16S ribosomal RNA". It matches the Rfam family "Bacterial small subunit ribosomal RNA", at positions 524 to 776 of the family's 1533-position model. The record is from RNAcentral.